GAUAAGUGCUGAAAGCAUCUAAGCACGAAACUUGCCCCGAGAUGAGUUCUCCCUGACUCCUUGAGAGUCCUGAAGGAACGUUGAAGACGACGACGUUGAUAGGCCGGGUGUGUAAGCGCAGCGAUGCGUUGAGCUAACCGGUACUAAUGAACCGUGAGGCUUAACCUUACAACGCCGAAGCUGUU
RNAcentral lists this ribosomal RNA (185 nucleotides) under Escherichia coli. RNAcentral's name for it is "partial 23S ribosomal RNA". It matches the Rfam family "Bacterial large subunit ribosomal RNA", at positions 2763 to 2925 of the family's 2925-position model. The record is from RNAcentral. Lineage: Bacteria; Pseudomonadati; Pseudomonadota; Gammaproteobacteria; Enterobacterales; Enterobacteriaceae.